This is a long non-coding RNA of Rosa chinensis, 705 nucleotides long. RefSeq lists it as uncharacterized. The transcript has 5 exons. The record is from RefSeq and is a predicted model, not a curated record. Lineage: Eukaryota; Viridiplantae; Streptophyta; Magnoliopsida; Rosales; Rosaceae.
CAACUUCUCUGAUUCUCUCUCCCCCUAAGCAUUUGUGCGCAGGGCCAACCAUUUCAAGAAAAGCAUUAAAUUGUUGCAUAAAGAAUAUGAUUAAACAAAAGCUAUUAUCAAUAGAAUUAAGGUAGGAUAAUUGAUUCCAAUGGCAUCAAGGUUGGCUGCAAGGUUUUUCUCUCGGAGGAUGUCAAGCAGUGGAAAGAUACUGAGUGAAGAGGAAAAAGCUGCAGAAAAUGUUACAUCAAGAAAACUGAGCAAGAGAAGCUUGAGAAGCUUGCACGAAAGGGCCCUAAACCAGAAGACAAAGCAACUGCAGGCCCGGGGGAAUCGAUAACUGAUGCCAAACCAAGUGAUUCGAGCUCAACUGCCAAAGUAUCAACUGACAAGUACAGGAAUUAUGCUGUUGUAGCUGGUGUUAUGACUGCUGCUGCUGCUCUGGGAUGGUAUAUCAAAGGAAGUGAAAAGAAGGCAGAAGUGCAGGACUGAGGUUAAAGUGUCUUGAUGUGGAACAUUUGAACAUCAGUUAGUAUCACGCAGUUAGCAUAGAAAUAAAGCAAACUAUGAACUUUCAAUGUUUCUGUUCUGGCUGGUGUAUACUUUGUUGAGUUUUGAGGCACUGUUUCCGUUUUGACCUCUUCUUUUCCCAGAAAUAUAUACAUGAAUGGAGGAUACCUUUCCAGCAUUCAAUUUCGAGUGAGAUUUUUAUUGUUA